UUAGUGGGGAGCUCAAUGGAAACUCUCAUUCAGACAAGACUGUCCAUGCUGUGCAUUGGGACCUCCCUUGUGUUUGGCCCCAUUCUGGGAAAGAGCUGGCGACUCUACAAGGUGUUUACCCAAAGGGUCCCGGACAAGAGAGUGGUGACAGGGAAAGACGUGUCCUGCACUUCGACCAGCACCCACUUCUGUGCUUCCCGG
Molecule: long non-coding RNA, 201 nt
Filed under: Homo sapiens (human)
Lineage: Eukaryota; Metazoa; Chordata; Mammalia; Primates; Hominidae
Description: HSALNT0314145
Source: RNAcentral